This is a long non-coding RNA of Gossypium arboreum, 783 nucleotides long. RefSeq lists it as uncharacterized. The transcript has 2 exons. The record is from RefSeq and is a predicted model, not a curated record. NCBI's taxonomy places the organism in Eukaryota, Viridiplantae, Streptophyta, Magnoliopsida, Malvales, Malvaceae.
ACUAUCUUUUAAAUAUUAUAUGAUAUUUCUUCUUUUUCUCUCUCUUGUUGACUACCACUAUUGACUAAAAUAAAUAAAAUAAAAUAAAAUGGAUAUUAUACUCUACUAUGUUCCCCCCGGUACCAUUGCUGCCAUUGUUUCUCCUGCUGAUCUCCUCAUUCCUCGCCAUCAAAAUUGUCGCUUGAAAGUUGAUCAACAAUUUCGAUUACCCGCCGGCUACUGGCUUUAGAACUGUUGAAGUUGGCCUACAUGCAGGAUAAGAAGCAGAAGAUCAAGCUGGAAGAUCAAGCUGUUGGAAUAUCUCCGGAUGAAGUACGUGCAGCUGUAAAGAAAAAGAUCAAACUGCUGUAUUAUUACCGGAUAAAGUAUGCAUACAACACAUGAAGCAGCCAAUGAGCUGACUAUGUAGCACAAGUUAUGCAGAUGAAGUAUAGAGAAGCAGAUCAAGCCAUACCUUCAGUAUAUGAAGUAUGCAUGCAGAUGCUGAAGCACAUUAUUGCUAUCAUAUUUCAUUCUGUUUAGUUACCUUAAAUAUUGUUUUGUAAUUUAGUUUGAUUUAAACUAAAUAGGUGACACAUUUUGAUGUAAUUAGGUGCUGAUAAAUUGAUAAAUCAGCUUGUCAAAGUGUACAAGUAAAGUUUUACAAGUUUCAAUGUUACUUAUUGGUAGUAGGUAGUUGUUUAGGUGAAAGUUGUUUAUGUUGACCAGUUGUAAUACUGGUAUAUGUAUUAGCUUUAAGCCUUCAUUCAAGUAAAUGAAAAUUCAUUAGAAUUUCAUCCAAAA